GACGAACGCUGGCGGCGUGCUUAACACAUGCAAGUCGAGCGGUAAGGCCCUUUCGGGGGUACACGAGCGGCGAACGGGUGAGUAACACGUGGGUGACCUGCCUUUAGCUCUGGGAUAAGCCUGGGAAACUGGGUCUAAUACCGGAUACGACUCCGCGGUGCAUGCUGUGGGGUGGAAAGCCUUGUGCGGCUGGAGAUGGGCCCGCGGCCUAUCAGCUUGUUGGUGGGGUGAUGGCCUACCAAGGCGACGACGGGUAGCCGGCCUGAGAGGGCGACCGGCCACACUGGGACUGAGACACGGCCCAGACUCCUACGGGAGGCAGCAGUGGGGAAUAUUGCACAAUGGGCGAAAGCCUGAUGCAGCGACGCCGCGUGAGGGAUGACUG
This 385-nucleotide ribosomal RNA is filed under the name uncultured bacterium. RNAcentral's name for it is "bacterial SSU rRNA". It matches the Rfam family "Bacterial small subunit ribosomal RNA", at positions 28 to 414 of the family's 1533-position model. The record is from RNAcentral.